Eucalyptus grandis is the source of this 2697-nucleotide RNA transcript. It is a transcript of the gene named probable methyltransferase PMT2, with no coding region annotated. NCBI's taxonomy places the organism in Eukaryota, Viridiplantae, Streptophyta, Magnoliopsida, Myrtales, Myrtaceae. The transcript has 7 exons. The record is from RefSeq and is a predicted model, not a curated record.
CCUCUUAUAGGAAACUCCGAGCGUUAAUUUACAUAAAAACCCGCUGUCUUUACUCGUCUGAUGAUUCCUCGACAGUCCAACUGCCGAUCCCCGCGCUCGGUCGUGCCGUAAACAUCGUAUCGAUCUCCACGCACGAACCCACCCAUCAGUCCAACCGCCCCGAUCCAAAUUCUCGCUCCGUUCCCCGUUCGAGGGCUCUCGGGAUCGUCGCUUUUCCUCCCUUCUUGUUGCUGCAUCCGCACGCGUUCUUGGGGACGAACCGAGGGAGCCAGGCCCCGCGCCGAUCUUGAAAGCCCGCCUUUUGUUCUCGCCAAUUCGGGUUUGACUCGCGGUUUUUGCACAGCGAUUCCUCGCCCCGAUCGGGGUCCGUCGCCACGCGGUCGUGCGGUUGCGGUUGGCGGGUCUUUUGAUUUGAUCACGGCCGAUUCUUGGGUUCCGAAUUGGUGGCGGGUUCGAUUCUGGGAGUAAUUUGUAUCGGCUGCGCGACUUUUUCCAGGUUCCUCAUGGCAUAUAAGGGCAUCCCAAAUGAGAGAAGAAGUAGGAGUUCAAUGCCUAUAUUUGUCAUAGUUGCCUUGUGCUGUGCCUUCUAUAUUUUGGGUGCAUGGCAGCGAAGUGGUUUUGGAAAAGGAGACAGCAUUGCACUUGAAGUCACCAAGCAGGCCGAUUGCAGUGUCCUCUCCAAUCUACAGUAUGAAACACAAGAAAUCCGUGAUGCAAGGGUAACGGAUGAUUCCGACACGGAUAUCAAGGAAUUUAAGCCAUGCGAUGAUCAAUAUAUUGAUUACACACCAUGUCAGGACCAAAUGCGUGCUAUGAUGUUCCCUCGAGAAAAUAUGAAUUACAGAGAGAGGCACUGUCCCACUGAAGAAGGGAAGUUGCGUUGCCUUGUCCCAGCGCCCAAAGGAUAUGUGACCCCAUUCCCAUGGCCCAAGAGUCGCGACUAUGUUCCCUUUGCCAAUGCACCGUACAAGAGCUUGACUGUUGAAAAGGCUGUUCAGAACUGGAUCCAGUAUGAGGGCAAUGUGUUCAGAUUUCCAGGAGGGGGAACGCAGUUUCCAAAUGGGGCUGAUGCUUAUAUUGAAGAUCUUGCCUCUAUUAUUCCCUUGGAUAAUGGGCUGGUUAGGACUGCACUUGACACUGGAUGUGGGGUUGCGAGUUGGGGUGCAUACCUGUUUAAGAAAAAUGUUAUAGCCAUGUCAUUUGCACCCAGAGACUCUCAUGAAGCUCAAGUUCAAUUUGCACUGGAACGAGGUGUCCCUGCAGUUAUUGGAGUUCUUGGGACCAUAAAACUGCCAUAUCCAUCUAGAGCUUUUGACAUGGCUCACUGCUCUCGCUGCUUGAUACCAUGGGCUUCCAAUAAUGGAAUGUACAUGAUGGAAGUUGAUCGAGUUCUUAGACCCGGUGGUUAUUGGGUGCUUUCUGGUCCUCCCAUUAACUGGAUCAACAAUUACCAAGCAUGGCAGCGUCCAAAAGAGGAACUUGAGGAGGAGCAAAGGAAAAUUGAAGAGACUGCUGAACGUCUUUGCUGGGAGAAGAAGCAUGAGAGGGGAGAAAUUGCUAUAUGGCAAAAAAGAACCAACUGCCAUGGCAAAGAUCUGGAGCCCGCAAUGUGCAAAUCCACAAAUCCAGAUGAUGUCUGGUACAAGAAAAUGGAGGCAUGCAUUACUCCUUACCCUGAAACUACUCAUCUAGAAGAAGUUGUUGGGGCAUGGAAGCCAUUUCCAGAAAGAUUAAAUGCUAUUCCAUACAGAGUUUCCAGUGGUUCGAUACCUGGAGUGUCAGCUGAUUCAUUCCAGGAGGACAACAAGACAUGGAGGAAACAUGUAAACUUUUACAAGACAGAGAACAAGAUUAUGAGUUCUGGGAGGUAUCGAAACAUCAUGGACAUGAAUGCUGGUCUGGGGGAGUUUUGCUGCAGCACUGGAAUCUCCAAAGCUAUGGGUCAUGAAUGUCAUGCCCACAAUAGCUAAGAGAGACACUCUUGGUGUUAUAUAUGAGCGUGGGCUGAUAGGCAUAUAUCAUGAUUGGUGCGAAGCCUUCUCCACAUAUCCGAGGACAUAUGAUCUCAUUCACGCAUAUGGAGUUUUCAGCUUGUACAAGGAUAAGUGUAACAUGGAAGACAUUCUCCUCGAGAUGGAUCGUAUCCUACGACCUGAAGGAGCAGUCAUAUUCCGGGAUGAAGUGGAUGUGCUACUGAAGGUGAAGAGGAUUGUGGGUGGAAUGAGGUGGAACACAAAGAUGGUGGACCAUGAGGACGGUCCUCUGAUCACCGAGAAAGUUCUCUUUGCUGUCAAACAAUACUGGGUUGCUGGCGAAAGCAGCUCUACAUCCGCACCACAGCUGGGUUAAAGAAAGGAUGACUAGAGUACAGUUCUUGCAUUAACACGGCUGCUUUAGCUGUUCAAUGCGCAUCCCCAGAGAGAGGUGAGAUAACGUGCAACCCCUUCUAAUUUUAUGUACAGGUGACCCUAAUUCUUCAAACGGUCUGUAGUACUCUAGCCUUUUUCUUUUUCCUUUUUGGCUUCUUCAAUUCUGUUCUUUCUGAUGAAUUUUGCAGCACUGUUAAUGCUAAUUUAUGCCUGUAUGUGUCCCCCUUGAACACGACUCGUUAGCAUCCUGUUUUGAGGGAAGCUACUGGCCACUCUCCUUUGUACUUCCACUCUGAGAUUUCUGGUACAAUCAUUUGUUAUCCGUUUG